RNAcentral lists this ribosomal RNA (428 nucleotides) under uncultured bacterium. RNAcentral describes it as "partial 16S ribosomal RNA". It matches the Rfam family "Bacterial small subunit ribosomal RNA", at positions 354 to 796 of the family's 1533-position model. The record is from RNAcentral.
GUGGGGGAUAUUGCACAAUGGGCGAAAGCCUGAUGCAGCAACGCCGCGUGAGGGAAGACGGUUUUCGGAUUGUAAACCUCUGUCUUUGGUGACGAAACAAAUGACGGUAGCCAAGGAGGAAGCCACGGCUAACUACGUGCCAGCAGCCGCGGUAAUACGUAGGUGGCGAGCGUUGUCCGGAAUUACUGGGUGUAAAGGGAGCGCAGGCGGGGAGACAAGUCAGCUGUGAAAACUAACGGCUUAACCGAUAGAGUGCAGUUGAAACUGUUUUUCUUGAGUGGAGCAGAGGCAGGCGGAAUUCCGAGUGUAGCGGUGAAAUGCGUAGAUAUUCGGAGGAACACCAGUGGCGAAGGCGGCCUGCUGGGCUUUAACUGACGCUGAGGCUCGAAAGUGUGGGGAGCAAACAGGAUUAGAAACCCCUGUAGUCC